Molecule: ribosomal RNA, 182 nt
Filed under: Clevelandella panesthiae
Lineage: Eukaryota; Ciliophora; Armophorea; Clevelandellida; Clevelandellidae
Description: partial 28S ribosomal RNA
Rfam family: Eukaryotic large subunit ribosomal RNA
Source: RNAcentral
UACCUGAAGUAAGCAGGACCACCCGCUAAACUUAAGCAUAUCACUCAGCGGAGGAAAAGAAACUAACAAAGAUUGCCUUAGUAACAGCGAGUGAAGAGGCAAGAGCUCAAAGUUAAAAUCGCUUAGCUAUGCUGAGCGAAUUGUAACCUCAAGGGGGGGAUAUAGGCAAGUUCGACGCAAAA